This 247-nucleotide unclassified non-coding RNA is filed under the name fungal sp. RNAcentral's name for it is "partial internal transcribed spacer region". The stretch from base 1 to 46 matches the Rfam family "Eukaryotic small subunit ribosomal RNA", at positions 1786 to 1831 of the family's 1831-position model. The record is from RNAcentral. Lineage: Eukaryota; Fungi.
AAGUCGUAACAAGGUAACCGUAGGUGAACCUGCGGUUGGAUCAUUGUAAUGAAUGCUAUUGGUGAGUUGAUCUCCCUUGGGGAGAACCUCGCCAGUGGUGUAACAACCUUUGUGAACCAUAAUGUACUCUGGGUCGAUGCUAACCCGCUUGGGAAAGUAUUUGACCCGCACUAAGAAUCAAUUUAAACUUGACAAUAUUUUUUAAGUAAAAUUAAAACAACUUUAGACAACGGAUCUCUUGGCUCUC